RNAcentral lists this long non-coding RNA (208 nucleotides) under Capsicum annuum. RNAcentral describes it as "long non-coding RNA (CANN_LNC021487)". The record is from RNAcentral. Lineage: Eukaryota; Viridiplantae; Streptophyta; Magnoliopsida; Solanales; Solanaceae.
UCUGGAAUAAUCCCCUAGAAAAUCCUAAUUCAAAGCUUUAAAUAGUUUACCCUAAUUAUGGAAACAAAAUCAAGGUUACAGCUUUUCCUCUGAAUAAAUGAUGACAUUUGUGAUAGCUUAUCAGUAGUCUAAUGACUUAUCACGGAUGUCGUCAGCUCCUCUUCACUUUUGGCUUUUGCUGUCUAAGACUGACGAUGAUGAUGACGGC